RNAcentral lists this ribosomal RNA (301 nucleotides) under uncultured bacterium. Its description in RNAcentral is "partial 16S ribosomal RNA". It matches the Rfam family "Bacterial small subunit ribosomal RNA", at positions 509 to 807 of the family's 1533-position model. The record is from RNAcentral.
CAGUCGCCGCGGGAAUACGAAGGGGGCUAGCGUUACUCGGAAUUACUGGGCGUAAAGCGCACGUAGGCGGCUUGGUAAGUUAGAGGUGAAAGCCUGGAGCUCAACUCCAGAAUUGCCUUUAAGACUGCCGAGCUAGCAGGUGAGAGAGGUAAGUGGAAUUCCGAGUGUAGAGGUGAAAUUCGUAGAUAUUCGGAAGAACACCAGUGGCGAAGGCGGCUUACUGGCUCAUACUGGACGCUGAGGUGCGAAAGCGUGGGGAGCAAACAGGAUUAGAUACCCCUGUAGUCCCUGUCUCUUAUAC